Molecule: long non-coding RNA, 556 nt
Filed under: Monodelphis domestica (gray short-tailed opossum)
Lineage: Eukaryota; Metazoa; Chordata; Mammalia; Didelphimorphia; Didelphidae
Description: lncRNA (ENSMODG00000035525.2)
Source: RNAcentral
AGCCAAGCUUGAGCCACCAUUGGCACAUGUGAGAUGCAGGAAGUGAUGUAGAGAACAGCCUCUGGAGUUCUCAUCACUUCCUGUGGAGAGGGCUGAGCGCCAGUUCGAUCCUGGAACUCCAGCCUGGAACUCGAGCCUGGAGGAGCUCCCUCAGACAGCUUCCUUGAAUCAGUCAUGUGGAUUACAUGAGGUGGAUGGGGGGCAAGCUUGUAAAAGAGUGGUAGUGGUUGAGUGAGCAGAGAGAAGGAACGUAAAGGUAAACAUCCCAAGAUGUGACAACAGAUUGAACAUGUGAGGUGAGCCCCACUUAGUUGUCUAAAAGGCAGCUGGCUGGUGAUGCAGGACUGGGACACAGGAAAGAGAUGGAGGUUGCCUAUUGAAUGAGAAAAUAUUUGUAAAGCACUUUGAAAACCUUAAAGCACUAUGGAAGCGUUAGUUAUUAUUAUCAUUAUUAUUAUAUAGAUGUGGGAAUCACUUGCAUAGAGAUGAUCUUUGAAUCCACAGGCGCUGAUGAGAUCACCAAACAAGAUAGUCUUUUAGGAAAAGUCAAGAAGAU